RNAcentral lists this ribosomal RNA (650 nucleotides) under uncultured bacterium. Its description in RNAcentral is "bacterial SSU rRNA". It matches the Rfam family "Bacterial small subunit ribosomal RNA", at positions 58 to 725 of the family's 1533-position model. The record is from RNAcentral.
CAAGUCGAGCGCGAUAUUUUUGAAAGAUACUUCGGUUGAUUUCUUAAAUGGAAAGCGGCGAAAGGGAGAGUAACGAGUAGAUACGUACCCAGGGGUCCGGGAUAGCCAUGCGAAAGCGUGAGUAAUACCGGAUAAUGUCUCCGGACCAAAUAUUUAUAGCCCUUGGAGCGGUCUGCUUACUAUUAGCUUGUUGGUGGGGUAAAGGCCUACCAAGGCGAAGAUGGUUAGCGGGUGUGAGAGCAUGGCCCGUCUCACUGGGACUGAGACACUGCCCAGACAUCUACGGAUGGCUGCAGUCGAGAAUCUUCCGCAAUGGACGAAAGUCUGACGGAGCGACGCCGCGUGAUGGACGAAGGCCCUCGGGUUGUAAACAUCUGUCGUAGGGGAGGAAAUUUUGACCGAUCCUAGGAGGAAGCACAGGCUAAGUUCGUGCCAGCAGCCGCGGUAAUACGAACUGUGCAAACGUUAUUCGGAAUCACUGGGCUUAAAGGGUGCGUAGGCGGACAGGUAGGUCAGAUGUGAAAUCCCACGGCUCAACCGUGGAACUGCGUUUGAAACCACUUGUCUUGAGGGGAUCAGAGGAGAGCGGAACUGAUGGUGGAGCGGUGAAAUGCGUUGAUAUUAUCAGGAACACCGGUGGCGAAGGCGGC